Molecule: long non-coding RNA, 160 nt
Organism: Malaclemys terrapin pileata
Lineage: Eukaryota; Metazoa; Chordata; Testudines; Emydidae
Exons: 2
Source: RefSeq, a predicted model, not a curated record
GACAAAGUGAGUUGAAGGUAAUGAAAAAUGACCCACCUGGUAUUUUCAGAAAGCUACCUGGGAACUAUUUACAACUGAGGAUAAGGACGUUCUUCAGGGCCUGACCUAGGACAAUGAAGUGACAAUGAAGGAGGGACUAUGCACGCGCUAUAGGGCAGAA